RNAcentral lists this ribosomal RNA (491 nucleotides) under uncultured bacterium. RNAcentral describes it as "bacterial SSU rRNA". It matches the Rfam family "Bacterial small subunit ribosomal RNA", at positions 33 to 507 of the family's 1533-position model. The record is from RNAcentral.
GACGACGCUGGCGGCGUGCCUAACACAUGCAAGUCGAGCGGGGUUGAAGCGAGAGGUAACUCGAACUUCUACCUAGCGGCGGACGGGUGAGUAAUAUAUCGGAACGUGCCCAGUCGUGGGGGAUAACGUAGCGAAAGCUACGCUAAUACCGCAUACGAUCUACGGAUGAAAGCGGGGGAUCGCAAGACCUCGCGCGAUUGGAGCGGCCGAUAUCAGAUUAGCUAGUUGGUGGGGUAAAAGCUCACCAAGGCGACGAUCUGUAGCUGGUCUGAGAGGACGACCAGCCACACUGGAACUGAGACACGGUCCAGACUCCUACGGGAGGCAGCAGUGGGGAAUUUUGGACAAUGGGCGCAAGCCUGAUCCAGCAAUGCCGCGUGCAGGAUGAAGGCCUUCGGGUUGUAAACUGCUUUUGUACGGAACGAAACGGUGAGCUCUAAUAAAGCUUGCUAAUGACGGUACCGUAAGAAUAAGCACCGGCUAACUACGUG